Molecule: ribosomal RNA, 407 nt
Filed under: uncultured bacterium
Lineage: Bacteria
Description: bacterial SSU rRNA
Rfam family: Bacterial small subunit ribosomal RNA
Source: RNAcentral
GGACGAACGCUGGCGGCGUGCUUAACACAUGCAAGUCGAGCGGGAUCCAACCGGUGGCAACACCGGGGAAGAUCUAGCGGCGAACGGGUGAGUAACACGUGAGCAACCUGCCCCGAAGACUGGGAUAACACCGGGAAACCGGUGCUAAUACCGGAUGUCGUCAUUAGGCCGCAUGACCUGAUGAUGAAAGGNUUCAUCGCUUCGGGAGGGGCUCGCGGGCUAUCAGCUUGUUGGUGGGGUAACGGCCUACCAAGGCGACGACGGCUAGCUGGUCUGAGAGGACGACCAGCCACACUGGGGACUGAGACACGGCCCAGACUCCUACGGGAGGCAGCAGUGGGGAAUCUUGCGCAAUGGGCGAAAGCCUGACGCAGCAACGCCGCGUGGGGGAUGAAUGCCUUCGGGUU